GUUGUCUUUGUUCCACUCCCCGUCCCUCCCCUUUUCUCCUCCCCUCCUUUGGCCCAGAGGGCUGCACAGUGCCUCUCUCGGAAAAAGUACUUCAUAGGUUUGCCAUGAGGACUGCUGGGGCCAAGGCCACUUGCUCGCCAGGGUGUUUCAUAUUCCAGUCAGAUGAUCUGGGUGAUACGGGUUUGGUUUGGAGCCCACCUUCCAAGAAUGAAAGAGACCACUCACCACUUUGUCUGACACUUUGCAGUCCGCCUUCACUGGCUGAAAGGCUGACUCUUAGGACUUCUACCCCAAACCAUAGCACCUACGGGCCAUGUGUUCUGUUUGAGCCUCAGAGUUUGAGAUGAGUGGGUGGUUGAGGGAGUAGGCAUUCAUUAGAGAGAUGGGUGUGGGAACUAUCUAUUAUGUGCUCCAGGAUUCUUGAUGUCACUUUGUGCUGCCAACUCUUGACGUAGCCAUCAGUGCUAGAUUAGGAGGGGUGCUUGCUUGCUUACUACCCAUUGAGCACCUGCUGGGCACUUUAUAUGCAUUGUCUCAUUUGAUCUUUAUGACCCUCUUCUGGGUGGUGGGCUGGUGGAUCAGACCCUGCAGCUGACAUACCAACUCUACCAUCUUGAUUCUUACAGAUUACACAGACAGAGGUCCAGCAAGGACAGCAGCAGUUCAGCCAGUUCACAGAUGGACAGAUUACCAAGAGUUGGGGAAAUGCUGACUUCCAAGCUGCUGGUACAGUGGUUCGAAUUGCUUGUGUUUGCCACAGAGGAACAGCGUGCAGCAAGCUCGAGUCUCUGAGCUAACGGGAGAGGCAGAGCCCAGAGAAGUGAAAGCCACAGGAAAUUCAACUCCCUGCACCUCUUCCCUGCCCACCACACACCCCCCCUCACACCGGGCUGGUGCCUCCUGUGUCUGCUGCUCCCAACCCCAGCAGAGCUCCACUUCCCCUCCUCCUUCUGACGCCUUGCAGUGGGUGGUGGUUGAGGUAUCUGGGACCCCCAACCAGCUCGAGACCCAUAGGGAGCUGCAUGCCCCUCUCCCAGGGGUGACCUCACUCUCUCCUCUCCACCCCUCGCAGCAGCUCUACCAGAUCCAGCAAGUCACCAUGCCUGCGGGCCAGGACCUCGCCCAGCCCAUGUUCAUCCAGUCAGCCAACCAGCCCUCCGACGGGCAGGCCCCCCAGGUGACCGGCGACUGAGGGCCUGAGCUGGCAAGGCCAAGGACACCCAACACAAUUUUUGCCAUACAGCCCCAGGCAAUGGGCACAGCCUUCCUCCCCAGAGGACCCGGCCGACCUCAGCGCCUCCUGCAGGCUAGGACACUGGUGCACUACACCCCACGCCUGGGGGCCGAGAUUCUCCAGCAGAAAGAUGCAAUAUUUUUUGUUUCCUUUUUUUCCAUUUUUUUCUCCAAGGAAUCAAUAUUUCAAUAUGUUGAGUGUGUGUCCAAUGCUAUGAAAUUAAAAUAUUAAAUAACAUAUUUAUGGCAUUUUCUUGAAGAGUGUGGUUGAAGAAAUAUUUCUCCUUUUGUUUUUCUUUUUUUUUGUUUGUUACUGCCACUUCUUUUUAGGAGCAAAUCUCCCCAGGGGUGUACGGUAUUUCUUGACUCUGGGAACAGCUGCUACCCCCAAGACUUGCCACGUUGUUCUGCCCUCAGAUGGAAUUAGGUGAAUGUGUGUAGCUGCUUUUUCACUCGUGGUCCUCUCCCCAUCCCUUGCUCUGACCCCAGAGCUCUGUGUAUUUGCAUCCAGAGGCCAUGGAAACAUUCUUUGCAUUUAAGAGACAGAUUUAUUCCCUGUGGAGAGUGGGUGGAUUCAUUGCCACACUCUUUUCUCCCAGGGACCCAGGAAACUAGGACUUUGUGUGUUUGCUGCCCACCUCCCUUUUAUUUUUUCAACGCAUUAAAAAUUGUGCUAGUCUCCUUUGCAUGGACUUCAAGCUGCAUGAAAUGCAAUAAAUCUCAUUUUAGAU
This 1964-nucleotide small RNA is filed under the name Pan troglodytes (chimpanzee). RNAcentral's name for it is "retained intron". Lineage: Eukaryota; Metazoa; Chordata; Mammalia; Primates; Hominidae. The record is from RNAcentral.